GCCCUAUCAACUUUCGAUGGU
RNAcentral lists this non-coding RNA (21 nucleotides) under Arabidopsis thaliana (thale cress). The record is from RNAcentral. RNAcentral also lists the same sequence under 1 other name. Lineage: Eukaryota; Viridiplantae; Streptophyta; Magnoliopsida; Brassicales; Brassicaceae.